RNAcentral lists this ribosomal RNA (215 nucleotides) under Agaricales sp. RNAcentral's name for it is "partial large subunit ribosomal RNA". The record is from RNAcentral. Lineage: Eukaryota; Fungi; Basidiomycota; Agaricomycetes; Agaricales.
AAACGCUUGAAGUCAGUCGCGUCUUCCAGGGAUCAAGUUACCUAUGGGUGACCGCACUUUCUGGUCGACGGGUCAGCAUCAAUUUUGAUCAUUGGAAAAAUGCUGAGGGAAAGUGGCAUCUCCGGAUGUGUUAUAGCCUUUGGUUUAUAUACAAUGAUUGGGAUUGAGGAACUCAGUGCUUGCACUCAGGAUGUUGGCAUAAUGGCUUUAAUCGA